UACGAAGGGGGCUAGCGUUGCUCGGAAUCACUGGGCGUAAAGCGCACGUAGGCGGCUUUCUAAGUCAGGGGUGAAAUCCUGGAGCUCAACUCCAGAACUGCCUUUGAUACUGGGAAGCUCGAGUCCGGAAGAGGUGAGUGGAACUCCGAGUGUAGAGGCGAAAUUCGUAGAUAUUCGGAAGAACACCAGUGGCGAAGGCGGCUCACUGGUCCGGUACUGACGCUGAGGUGCGAAAGCGUGGGGAGCAAACAGG
This 253-nucleotide ribosomal RNA is filed under the name uncultured bacterium. RNAcentral describes it as "partial 16S ribosomal RNA". It matches the Rfam family "Bacterial small subunit ribosomal RNA", at positions 524 to 776 of the family's 1533-position model. The record is from RNAcentral.